This 73-nucleotide transfer RNA is filed under the name Colletotrichum orbiculare MAFF 240422. RNAcentral's name for it is "tRNA-Lys (CTT) (tRNA-Lys-CTT-4-1)". It matches the Rfam family "tRNA". From Rfam's summary of the family: Transfer RNA (tRNA) molecules are approximately 80 nucleotides in length. Their secondary structure includes four short double-helical elements and three loops (D, anti-codon, and T loops). The record is from Rfam by way of RNAcentral. Lineage: Eukaryota; Fungi; Ascomycota; Sordariomycetes; Glomerellales; Glomerellaceae.
GCCUCGCUAGCUCAAUCGGUAGAGCGUGAGACUCUUAAUCUCAAGGCUGCGGGUUCGACCCCCGCGUGAGGCU